ACACUCUCCUCAUCGACUAUCAGUUCACCUUCAGCCUUUCCCAAGAAGAUGAUCGCCAUUACACAGCUAUCAAUUUUGUGGCCACGCCUGACGAGCAAAACAGAGAGCUGGAC
Molecule: long non-coding RNA, 113 nt
Organism: Sphaerodactylus townsendi
Lineage: Eukaryota; Metazoa; Chordata; Lepidosauria; Squamata; Sphaerodactylidae
Exons: 3
Source: RefSeq, a predicted model, not a curated record